AUAAAGUAUGGUUUUCAAAGUUG
RNAcentral lists this small nuclear RNA (23 nucleotides) under Arabidopsis thaliana (thale cress). RNAcentral describes it as "snRNA_14343". The record is from RNAcentral. Lineage: Eukaryota; Viridiplantae; Streptophyta; Magnoliopsida; Brassicales; Brassicaceae.